GACGAACGCUGGCGGCGUGCCUAAUACAUGCAAGUAGAACGCUGAAGGAGGAGCUUGCCCUUCUGGAUGAGUUGCGAACGGGUGAGUAACGCGUAGGUAACCUGCCUGGUAGCGGGGGAUAACUAUUGGAAACGAUAGCUAAUACCGCAUAACAGUAGAUAUCGCAUGAUAGCUGCUUGAAAGGUGCAAUUGCACCACUACCAGAUGGACCUGCGUUGUAUUAGCUAGUUGGUGAGGUAACGGCUCACCAAGGCGACGAUACAUAGCCGACCUGAGAGGGUGAUCGGCCACACUGGGACUGAGACACGGCCCAGACUCCUACGGGAGGCAGCAGUAGGGAAUCUUCGGCAAUGGACGGAAGUCUGACCGAGCAACGCCGCGUGAGUGAAGAAGGUUUUCGGAUCGUAAAGCUCUGUUGUAAGAGAAGAACGAGUGUGAGAGUGGAAAGUUCACACUGUGACGGUAUCUUACCAGAAAGGGACGGCUAACUACGUGCCAGCAGCCGCGGUAAUACGUAGGUCCCGAGCGUUGUCCGGAUUUAUUGGGCGUAAAGCGAGCGCAGGCGGUUAGAUAAGUCUGAAGUUAAAGGCUGUGGCUUAACCAUAGUACGCUUUGGAAACUGUUUAACUUGAGUGCAAGAGGGGAGAGUUGGAAUUCCAUGUGUAGCGGUGAAAUGCGUAUGAUAUAUGGAGGAACACCGGGUGGCGAAAGCGGCUCUCUGUCUUGUAACUUGAAUCUGAGGCUCGAAAGCGUGGGGGAGCAAACAGGAUUUGAUACCCUAGUUGUCCAAGGGCGGAUUUCCGCUGUGGUGAUGUGGCUUAUCGAUUCCCCUUCCCCCUCGGGGGGAGAAAAACAAGUAAUUCAUUUUUGUUCCCUUUUGUGGGGGUUUAUUAUGUGUGUGCUGUGGGUGUGUAUGUUUGGUUGGGUGAUGGGAGAUGCUUGUUCAUUGUGUGUGUGUUGGGAAGGAGGGGGUGUGUUUUUGAUGUUGUGUUAUUUUGAGGGUGUGGAGUGAGAUGUGUGUAUGAGGUGUAGUGUUGUGGUGUGUGUGUGUGAUGUGGUUGUGUUAUGGUGUGUGUUGUGUCCUGUGCUGGUGUUGUGCGUCUUGGGGGUUUGUGAUGUGUGUGCUGUGUGUGUGUGGUAAUGAUGAGGUGGUGAGUGUGUUGUUGUUGUGGUGCUAGUGUGUUGUAUUGUUGUUGAUGUGUUGUAGUUCCUGUUUUGUGUUUAGUUGUGAGUUGUUGUUGCUUAGUAUUGUAUUUGAUUGUGUUGCGCAUGUCUGCAUUAGUGUGGUAGUGUAGUGUGUGAUUG
RNAcentral lists this ribosomal RNA (1305 nucleotides) under uncultured Streptococcus sp. Its description in RNAcentral is "bacterial SSU rRNA". The stretch from base 1 to 805 matches the Rfam family "Bacterial small subunit ribosomal RNA", at positions 28 to 873 of the family's 1533-position model. The record is from RNAcentral. Lineage: Bacteria; Bacillati; Bacillota; Bacilli; Lactobacillales; Streptococcaceae.